RNAcentral lists this transfer RNA (70 nucleotides) under Ambystoma talpoideum (mole salamander). RNAcentral describes it as "tRNA-Thr". It matches the Rfam family "tRNA". From Rfam's summary of the family: Transfer RNA (tRNA) molecules are approximately 80 nucleotides in length. Their secondary structure includes four short double-helical elements and three loops (D, anti-codon, and T loops). Lineage: Eukaryota; Metazoa; Chordata; Amphibia; Caudata; Ambystomatidae. The record is from RNAcentral.
ACCAUGAUAGUUUAACUAAAAACAUCGGCCUUGUAAGCCGAAAACUGAGGACUAAGCCCCUCUCAAGGUA